GGGGAAUAUUGCACAAUGGGCGAAAGCCUGAUGCAGCGACGCCGCGUGAGGGAUGACGGCCUUCGGGUUGUAAACCUCUUUCAUCAGGGAAGAAGCGAAAGUGACGGUACCUGCAGAAGAAGCGCCGGCUAACUACGUGCCAGCAGCCGCGGUAAUACGUAGGGCGCAAGCGUUGUCCGGAAUUAUUGGGCGUAAAAAGCUCGUAGGCGGUUAGUCGCGUCUGCUGUGAAAACUCGAGGCUCAACCUCGGGCUUGCAGUGGGUACGGGCUGACUAGAGUGCGGUAGGGGUGACUGGAAUUCCUGGUGUAGCGGUGGAAUGCGCAGAUAUCAGGAGGAACACCGAUGGCGAAGGCAGGCAUCUAGCCAUGUACUGACGCUGAGACGCGAAGGUGCGGGGAGCAAACA
This 406-nucleotide ribosomal RNA is filed under the name uncultured Cellulomonadaceae bacterium. Its description in RNAcentral is "bacterial SSU rRNA". It matches the Rfam family "Bacterial small subunit ribosomal RNA", at positions 356 to 774 of the family's 1533-position model. The record is from RNAcentral. Lineage: Bacteria; Bacillati; Actinomycetota; Actinomycetes; Micrococcales; Cellulomonadaceae.